This 798-nucleotide ribosomal RNA is filed under the name uncultured Sphingobacteriia bacterium. RNAcentral describes it as "bacterial SSU rRNA". It matches the Rfam family "Bacterial small subunit ribosomal RNA", at positions 70 to 868 of the family's 1533-position model. The record is from RNAcentral. Lineage: Bacteria; Pseudomonadati; Bacteroidota; Sphingobacteriia.
UAACGCGGUAGCAAUACUGGCGACGACCGGCGCACGGGUGCGUAACGCGUAUGCAAUUUGCCCAUAACAGGGGGAUAGCCCGGAGAAAUCCGGAUUAAUACCCUAUAGUAUAAUGAAAAGGCAUCUUUUUAUUAUUAAAGAUUUAUCGGUUAUGGAUGAGCAUGCGUCUGAUUAGCUAGUUGGUGAGGUAAUGGCUCACCAAGGCAACGAUCAGUAGGGGGUCUGAGAGGAUGAUCCCCCACACUGGUACUGAGAUACGGACCAGACUCCUACGGGAGGCAGCAGUAGGGAAUAUUGGGCAAUGGACGAGAGUCUGACCCAGCCAUGCCGCGUGUAGGAAGAAGGCUUUCUGAGUUGUAAACUACUUUUGAUUGGGAACAAAAGAUCCCUGCGGGGAGCAUUGAGUGUACCAAUAGAAUAAGCACCGGCUAACUCCGUGCCAGCAGCCGCGGUAAUACGGAGGGUGCAAGCGUUGUCCGGAUUUAUUGGGUUUAAAGGGUGCGUAGGCGGCUAAUUAAGUCAGCGGUGAAAUUCUACAGCUUAACUGUAAGAACUGCCAUUGAUACUGGUUGGCUUGAGUACAGAUGAGGUAGGCGGAAUUGACAGUGUAGCGGUGAAAUGCUUAGAUAUUGUCAAGAACACCUAUUGCGAAGGCAGCUUACUAAACUGUAACUGACGCUGAGGCACGAAAGCGUGGUGAUCAAACAGGAUUAGAUACCCUGGUAGUCCACGCUGUAAACGAUGAUUACUCGAUGUGUGCGAUAGACAGUACGCGUCCAAGCGAAAGCGUUAAGUAAU